Molecule: ribosomal RNA, 391 nt
Filed under: uncultured bacterium
Lineage: Bacteria
Description: bacterial SSU rRNA
Rfam family: Bacterial small subunit ribosomal RNA
Source: RNAcentral
GCUGGCGGCGUGCCUAACACAUGCAAGUCGAGCGGAGAAUGCAGAUAUGUUUACAUAGAAGCGUUCUUAGCGGCGGACGGGUGAGUAACACGUGGGUAACCUGCCUCAAAGUGGGGGAUAGCCUUCCGAAAGGAAGAUUAAUACCGCAUAAGCCUACAGUGCCGCAUGGUACAGCAGGAAAAAGAGCAAUCCGCUUUGAGAUGGACCCCGCGGCGCAUUAGCUAGUUGGUGAGGUAACGGCUCACCAAGGCGACGAUGCGUAGCCGACCUGAGAGGGUGAUCGGCCACAUUGGAACUGAGACACGGUCCAGACUCCUACGGGAGGCAGCAGUGGGGAAUAUUGCACAAUGGGCGAAAGCCUGAUGCAGCAACGCCGCGUGAGUGAUGAAGG